AUAUUGAUAUACGGGUGCUUGUGUAAUACCAGGCUGAGAACAUACCGUCAAACUCGAACAAGUUAAUACUUGCGUGAGGAUUAUUUGAUAUUGAUGG
This 97-nucleotide non-coding RNA is filed under the name Ogataea parapolymorpha DL-1. RNAcentral describes it as "TPP riboswitch aptamer (THI element)". It matches the Rfam family "TPP riboswitch aptamer (THI element)". From Rfam's summary of the family: Vitamin B(1) in its active form thiamin pyrophosphate (TPP) is an essential coenzyme that is synthesised by coupling of pyrimidine and thiazole moieties in bacteria. The record is from Rfam by way of RNAcentral. RNAcentral also lists the same sequence under 1 other name. Lineage: Eukaryota; Fungi; Ascomycota; Pichiomycetes; Pichiales; Pichiaceae.